This 497-nucleotide ribosomal RNA is filed under the name uncultured bacterium. Its description in RNAcentral is "partial 16S ribosomal RNA". It matches the Rfam family "Bacterial small subunit ribosomal RNA", at positions 899 to 1397 of the family's 1533-position model. The record is from RNAcentral.
ACUCAAAGGAAUAGACGGGGGCCCGCACAAGCGGCGGAGCAUGCUGAUUAAUUCGAUGCAACGCGAAGAACCUUACCUGGGUUUGACAUAUGGGGAAAACUCACAGAGAUGUGAGGUCCUUUUGGGCUCCAUACAGGUGGUGCAUGGCUGUCGUCAGCUCGUGUCGUGAGAUGUUGGGUUAAGUCCCGCAACGAGCGCAACCCUCGUUCUAUGUUGCCAGCACGUAAUGGUGGGGACUCAUAGGAGACUGCCGGGGUCAACUCGGAGGAAGGUGGGGAUGACGUCAAGUCUUCAUGCCCCUUAUGCCCAGGGCUUCAAGCAUGCUACAAUGGCCGGUACAAAGGGCUGCGAAACCGCAAGGUGGAGCGAAUCCCAAAAAGCCGGUCUCAGUUCGGAUUGGGGUCUGCAACUCGACCCCAUGAAGUCGGAGUCGCUAGUAAUCGCAGAUCAGCAACGCUGCGGUGAAUACGUUCCCGGGCCUUGCACACACCGCCCGU